GAUGAAGAACGUAGCGAAAUGCGAUAAGUAGUGUGAAUUGCAGAAUUCAGUGAAUCAUCGAAUCUUUGAACGCACAUUGCGCCCCUUGGUAUUCCAUGGGGCAUGCCUGUUCGAGCGUCAUUUGUACCUUCAAGCUUUGCUUGGUGUUGGGCCCGGUGGGCGAUUGCCUACCAGCCUUAAAGAGAGUGGCGGUGCCCCGCGGCCCUGAGCGUAGUAACUACUCCCGCUAUAGGUGUCCACGGGCUCACCAGCCAGCAACCCCACCUUUCUAUGGUUGACCUCGGAUCAGGUAGGGAUACCCGCUGAACUUAAGCAUAUCAAUAAGCGGAGGA
This 332-nucleotide unclassified non-coding RNA is filed under the name soil metagenome. RNAcentral describes it as "partial contains 5.8S ribosomal RNA, internal transcribed spacer 2, and large subunit ribosomal RNA". The stretch from base 1 to 120 matches the Rfam family "5.8S ribosomal RNA", at positions 35 to 154 of the family's 154-position model. The record is from RNAcentral.